Molecule: non-coding RNA, 1463 nt
Organism: Paramuricea clavata
Lineage: Eukaryota; Metazoa; Cnidaria; Anthozoa; Malacalcyonacea; Plexauridae
Source: the annotation of a GenBank genome assembly
AGCUAUUGUGCCGGGAAUGAAACCCCUGUGAUUCGGAUCAGCUCCUUAAUUGCAAAGAGUCCAUCAAGCCCCAAGAGUCAAUGAAGGUCACCAGGAGUUUAUGUAUAUAAUACUGAUACCAGUUAACUUAAUAUACUACCACUGACACCACCACUUAAUGGUUUAUAUACAGUAUGUACAGCAACUUGUGGUGACCUCUUGGCAAACAGACACUUUAAGUCAGAGGGCAGCAGUAGAAUUGCAGGGCUGUAGGUUCAGUUUAUGCUGGCAGACUUGCAAUUGCUAUCUGAGUUAUUUGAAGUGUGUUUGUUCACCACAACCAGGUAUAUCAAUUGUGUUUUUCGCUUGCUACUUUGGAUUAAAUAAAUAAUUACAAAGCCCGGUGGAAUUGUAAUCAAGACCCAGCGUUUAGACACUCCAGUCUAGUGUCUUCUUUAGGGGUGAUCUAAAGUUGUAAUUGUGGCUUAUUAAAUACCCAAGGGAUGACAUCACCUGCCAAUGAGAUGCAUGUAUUCCUCUGGCAAAUAGGCACCGUCAUCCCUAUUCACAGCAUAAUUACUCAUAUUUAUAUGCCAUGCUUCUAGGCAUAGUCUUUGACCAUGAUAGCGAUUGUUUGUGGUAAUUACUUUAGAUUUUUCCGACACAACCUCGUGUUUGGUGCCACACACAUGUUCUGAUAAAGCUGAUUUUCCCUUGUUUUAAAGUUGAAACAGCCUUUUGAUGUUCUUUUAGCCAUGUACCAAACUAGUGUUAAGACUGACCCAAAUACUCUUUUUCGCAGUCACCGCAUGGUAUAGAAUAUACAGCAUGAGUUUUCUGAUUUGUUUUAACAGGAUCUUUUGGCUUUGCGAAAAUAUGGCCUAAAGUCAAAUACGGUUUUAAGGCAACAUUAAUAUCAUAUUACAUGCAUCUCAUUGGCAGGUGACGUCAUCCCUUGGGUAUUUAAGAAGUGACAAUUGCAACUUUAGAUCACCCCUGAUGAAGACACUAGACUGGAGUGUCAAAACGUUGGGUCUUGAUUACAAUUCAACUGGACUUUGUAAUAAUUUAUUUAAACCAGAGUAGCGAGCGAAACAUGCUCCCAGUUAGUUCUAUGAAACACAUGUUAACUGUACAGUUUCCAUUUGAAAUGUCCAUCUACAAAAACCCAUGAUCAGUCUGCUAUUAUUGCCUUGCUAGAGUAGGCUGUUGAUUGUCUCCUAUAUUUAAUAUUGGCUAUUUGCAACAUCCUGCAAUCCAUCAUAUUAUACACAUGCAGCCAUGAUAUCAUCAAUCAAACUUUGAACUUAGAACUGCAUUCAAAGAAUGUUAUCGAGCGUAAGAAUAUAUCAUUAUAUGCUAAAGCAAAUUGUAUUUCCUGUUACAAUACUGUAUACCUUGUAUAUAGAGGGAUAAUAAAUUAUUUUGACUUCAGGAGGGCUAUUAUAGCAUGCAUGAUUUAAGGAGCAGCAACUCAGCAAGGG